Non-coding RNA from Bubalus bubalis (water buffalo), 760 nucleotides. The record is from the annotation of a RefSeq genome assembly. NCBI's taxonomy places the organism in Eukaryota, Metazoa, Chordata, Mammalia, Artiodactyla, Bovidae.
CAGAGACCUUGCUCUCUGACAGAUGGCAGAGAAGAGGAAGGAAUAAAAAUUUCAGCAUCUGCUGAUAUGAUAUACAAUAAGCCAAAGCACCACCUAAGAACACUCAAAGCUGAGACCAUCUUCAUCCUGCCUCUCCCCACCAUCGGCUCCAUGCUCCUCUGCUGUGUGAUCUUCUGUCUCCUGGGAACGGGCUCCAUGGAUACUGGUGUUACCCAGACCCCAAGAAAUAGGAUCGCAAACACAGGAAAGAGCACUGUACUGGAAUGUUCUCAGACUAAGGACCAUGAGUCCAUGUACUGGUAUCGACAAGACCCAGGGCAGGGGCUCCGGCUGAUCUACUCCUCCUAUGGUAUCAAUGAUAUUAACAAAGGAGAUGUCUCUGAUGGGUACAAUGUCUCUCGUAAGGAGAAGGCAAAAUUCUCCCUCUACCUAGAGCCUGCUACCCCCAACCAGACGGCCAUUUACUUCUGUGCCAGCAAUAUUUGCACAGUGCUUCCUGGCCACCUGCUCUCUACACAGAAAGACCGCUGUGUUUGCUUGGAAGGGCACACAGACUUCCUUGAUGUGCGGUGUGGGUUCCUUAGAGGUUGUUUCUAUGCUGUGUGAGCCCCAGUCUGAACUUAGGGCCACCUUGGGUCAGUGUCCCCAGGCCAUGGGGUGACUCCUAAACCCCAGCCUAGACUGAUCCUACCUCCCCUGCCUACUGAACCUCUUUUUUUUUUUUUUUUUUCUAGUGGUAGUGGCCAGCCCAAUACUGUUC